GUGCCAGCAGCCGCGGUAAUACGUAGGGGGCAAGCGUUGUCCGGAAUCAUUGGGCGUAAAGAGCGUGUAGGCGGCUUCGUCAGUCCGUUGUGAAAGUCCAGGGCUCAACCCUGGAAUGCCGAUGGAUACUGCGGAGCUAGAGUACGGAAGAGGCGAGUGGAAUUCCUGGUGUAGCGGUGAAAUGCGCAGAUAUCAGGAGGAACACCUAUGGCGAAGGCAGCUCGCUGGGACGUUACUGACGCUGAGACGCGAAAGCGUGGGGAGCAAACAGGAUUAGAUACCCUCGUAGUCC
This 292-nucleotide ribosomal RNA is filed under the name uncultured bacterium. RNAcentral's name for it is "partial 16S ribosomal RNA". It matches the Rfam family "Bacterial small subunit ribosomal RNA", at positions 505 to 796 of the family's 1533-position model. The record is from RNAcentral.